GGUUGAUCCUGCCAGUAGUCAUAUGCUUGUUUCAAAGAUUAAGCCAUGCAAGUCUAAGUAUAAGUCUUCAUACGACGAAACUGCGAAUAGCUCAUUAGAACACUUAUAAAUAACACGGUGAUUUCUUCUUAUAUGGAUAUCCAUGGUAAUUCUGGAGCUAAUACAUGCAAAGUGCUUUGUUUACAAAGUAUCAACCAUGAUAAGUUCUCUGACUGAGUCUUGUGCUCAUUUGGAUGAUCCGCGUGGUCUUGAGAAUCGCUUUAUGCGAUAUACCGUAUUAGUUUGUGACCUAU
RNAcentral lists this ribosomal RNA (293 nucleotides) under uncultured eukaryote. Its description in RNAcentral is "partial 18S ribosomal RNA". It matches the Rfam family "Eukaryotic small subunit ribosomal RNA", at positions 6 to 315 of the family's 1831-position model. The record is from RNAcentral.